Uloborus diversus is the source of this 123-nucleotide small nuclear RNA. NCBI's taxonomy places the organism in Eukaryota, Metazoa, Arthropoda, Arachnida, Araneae, Uloboridae. The record is from RefSeq and is a predicted model, not a curated record.
GUGUUAUAUGAAAGGAGAGAAGUUUAGCACUCCCCUUGACAAGGACGGAACGGCCUCUGGGCCUUACACACAUACGGUUAAGGCACUGCCGCUCACUUCGCGGCAACUUAACCACAUUUUUUA